RNAcentral lists this ribosomal RNA (433 nucleotides) under uncultured bacterium. RNAcentral's name for it is "partial 16S ribosomal RNA". It matches the Rfam family "Bacterial small subunit ribosomal RNA", at positions 29 to 507 of the family's 1533-position model. The record is from RNAcentral.
AACGAACGCUGGCGGCAUGCCUAACACAUGCAAGUCGAACGAGACCUUCGGGUCUAGUGGCGCACGGGUGCGUAACGCGUGGGAACCUGCCCUUAGGUUCGGAAUAACUCCCCGAAAGGGGUGCUAAUACCGGAUAAUGUCUUCGGACCAAAGAUUUAUCGCCUUUGGAUGGGCCCGCGUUGGAUUAGCUAGUUGGUAGGGUAAAAGCCUACCAAGGCGACGAUCCAUAGCUGGUCUGAGAGGAUGAUCAGCCACACUGGGACUGAGACACGGCCCAGACUCGUACGGGAGGCAGCAGUGGGGAAUAUUGGACAAUGGGCGAAAGCCUGAUACAGCAAUGCCGCGUGAGUGAUGAAGGCCUUAGGGUUGUAAAGCUCUUUUACCCGGGAUGAUAAUGACAGUACCGGGAGAAUAAGCGCCGGCUAACUCCGUG